Molecule: ribosomal RNA, 682 nt
Filed under: Bacillus subtilis
Lineage: Bacteria; Bacillati; Bacillota; Bacilli; Caryophanales; Bacillaceae
Description: bacterial SSU rRNA
Rfam family: Bacterial small subunit ribosomal RNA
Source: RNAcentral
GCGUAAAGGGCUCGCAGGCGGUUUCUUAAGUCUGAUGUGAAAGCCCCCGGCUCAACCGGGGAGGGUCAUUGGAAACUGGGGAACUUGAGUGCAGAAGAGGAGAGUGGAAUUCCACGUGUAGCGGUGAAAUGCGUAGAGAUGUGGAGGAACACCAGUGGCGAAGGCGACUCUCUGGUCUGUAACUGACGCUGAGGAGCGAAAGCGUGGGGAGCGAACAGGAUUAGAUACCCUGGUAGUCCACGCCGUAAACGAUGAGUGCUAAGUGUUAGGGGGUUUCCGCCCCUUAGUGCUGCAGCUAACGCAUUAAGCACUCCGCCUGGGGAGUACGGUCGCAAGACUGAAACUCAAAGGAAUUGACGGGGGCCCGCACAAGCGGUGGAGCAUGUGGUUUAAUUCGAAGCAACGCGAAGAACCUUACCAGGUCUUGACAUCCUCUGACAAUCCUAGAGAUAGGACGUCCCCUUCGGGGGCAGAGUGACAGGUGGUGCAUGGUUGUCGUCAGCUCGUGUCGUGAGAUGUUGGGUUAAGUCCCGCAACGAGCGCAACCCUUGAUCUUAGUUGCCAGCAUUCAGUUGGGCACUCUAAGGUGACUGCCGGUGACAAACCGGAGGAAGGUGGGGAUGACGUCAAAUCAUCAUGCCCCUUAUGACCUGGGCUACACACGUGCUACAAUGGACAGAAC